This 273-nucleotide small nucleolar RNA is filed under the name Trichophyton rubrum BMU01672. Lineage: Eukaryota; Fungi; Ascomycota; Eurotiomycetes; Onygenales; Arthrodermataceae. The record is from RNAcentral.
GCUGACGGAAUUAAUAACAGGAGCACGCUACUAUGUAGCCAAGUGAUGUAGCUCUUAUUAAAAUGGUUAGUAUACCACCUACUCUAUUCUCCUCGGACAUUUAAUUCCCACAAUGUGAUGACAUCUUGAUGACGAGUCUUAUUCGAAUUCUCGAUGCAGACACAAAUAUUUAAAUAACCAUUCAUGCCAAACUGAACCUGUGCUCUUCAGCAUCGUUUAUCACACGCACAAUGCAUAUCCUAGUUCGUAACACUAACUUGGGCUGAGAGCAGG